This 301-nucleotide ribosomal RNA is filed under the name uncultured bacterium. RNAcentral's name for it is "partial 16S ribosomal RNA". It matches the Rfam family "Bacterial small subunit ribosomal RNA", at positions 512 to 816 of the family's 1533-position model. The record is from RNAcentral.
CAGCACGGGAAUACGAAGGGUGCAAGCGUUAAUCGGAAUUACUGGGCGUAAAGCGUGCGUAGGCGGUUUGUUAAGUCUGCUGUGAAAUCCCCGGGCUCAACCUGGGAAUGGCAGUGGAUACUGGCAAGCUAGAGUGUGUCAGAGGAUGGUGGAAUUCCCGGUGUAGCGGUGAAAUGCGUAGAGAUCGGGAGGAACAUCAGUGGCGAAGGCGGCCAUCUGGGACAACACUGACGCUGAGGCACGAAAGCGUGGGGAGCAAACAGGAUUAGAUACCCGAGUAGUCCCUGUCUCUUAUACACAU